GACGAACGCUGGCGGCGUGCUUAACACAUGCAAGUCGAGCGGUAAGGCCCUUUCGGGGGUACGACGAGCGGCGAACGGGUGAGUAACACGUGGGUGACCUGCCCUCAGCUCUGGGAGUAAGCCUGGGAAACCGGGGUACUAAUACCGGAUAUGACUCCAUGACGCAUGUUGUGGGGUGGAAAGCCUUGUGCGGCUGAGGAUGGGCCCGCGGCCUAUCAGCUUGUUGGUGGGGUGAUGGCCUACCAAGGCGACGACGGGUAGCCGGCCUGAGAGGCGACCGGCCACACUGGGACUGAGACACGGCCCAGACUCCUACGGGAGGCAGCAGUGGGGAAUCUUGCGCAAUGGGCGAAAGCCUGACGCAGCGACGCCGCGUGAGGGAUGACGGCCU
This 391-nucleotide ribosomal RNA is filed under the name uncultured bacterium. Its description in RNAcentral is "bacterial SSU rRNA". It matches the Rfam family "Bacterial small subunit ribosomal RNA", at positions 28 to 417 of the family's 1533-position model. The record is from RNAcentral.